UGGUGGAGUGAUUUGUCUGGUUAAUUCCGAUAACGAACGAGACUCUGGCCUACUAAAUAGAUGAUGGAUCUUUGAGUCCAUUAUGUCUUCUUAGAGGGACAAGGCAGCUCCAAGCUGCGUGAAAUGGGGCAAUAACA
Molecule: ribosomal RNA, 137 nt
Filed under: uncultured eukaryote
Lineage: Eukaryota
Description: partial 18S ribosomal RNA
Rfam family: Eukaryotic small subunit ribosomal RNA
Source: RNAcentral